UUCUCACUUUGAAAGCUUUCCUCUGCCUGUUAACUGUAGGCAGAGAUAGUCAAGGCUUCGGAGUAGCCCCGUGGGGGACGCCGUGUGCCUGUGAGAUGGGGUGACCGAAGUAGUGGCCUGUGGGAAGUAAGAUGCUUUCUGGAGCUGGGGGCACCGUGUUCUGUUUUCCUGUGACUCCGCCACAGCCGUGGGAAACAUAAGGGUUGGGGUCUUAGAAUGACAAGCUUCCGGAGGGAACUGAAUUAAUCCACAGAGUUCAAGCAGAGCGAGCUAGGAGGCAGAGUAGUCUACUCCCUUGCUCCAGGGCCCACACCCACUACUAAUGUGUUUACAUUUGAACCCUUGCCAAACUUCCCCCCCCCCCAACCCCCGCUGCCCCCCAGUUUAAAAAGGGAGGUUUUGUGUAGGGGGAAAAGCUAAGGAUAAAAGGGUUUCCGUUCAAAAGUCUCCUGCCUUUGUUGCUUAUUGCAGCUUUUGCUCCUGAUGCUGUGAGGACUACACACUUCUAAGAAAUUAGCGUUGUUGUGGUUUCCCUUUCAGCUUUGGAGCCCACGAGUGACCUCACCCAGAGGGGCCGAGCGAGCCUCUUGUCAGGAUGUGUUCGCUCCGGCUGCCAUAACAAAAUACCACAGUCCGGGUUUCAUAAACGACAGACGUGUCUCUCACGGUUCUGGAGGCCACCGGUCCAGGAUCGGGUGCUGGCCGACUUGGUUCCCGGUGGGGACUCUCUUCCUGGCUUGCAGACGGCUGCCUUCUCACUGCCCUCACACGGUGGAGGAAGAGCGAGAUCUGGUGUCUCUUCCUCUCACAAGGACGCUAAUGUCAUCAUGGGGUCCCACCCUCAUGACCUCACGGAGGCCCUGCCUUCCGGUGCCAUUAUCCUGGGGGAUAGGGCUUCACCAUAUGAAUAUGGGGGGGAGGGGACACAUUCAGCCCAUAACAGUCUUGUGUGUGACAGAAUUGACUGUUCACGCGACAGACCUCGUGCUCCCCUCCCCCCUCCGCAAUGCCGUCUUCCCGUUUUCCCAGUUUCCGUUGUGUCUCUGGUGAUCACAUGACCUCGUUCUGGCCAAUCAGGAGCAGGGAGACCCCCAGGGGCUUCUGGGAGUGACCCCCCCUCCCCCCCUCGACGGCGGGGGAGACUUCUGAGCAGAAGGCUUACCCAGCCGCGUCUCCUCCUGGAGCCGCAGUCUGGGGCUGCCGAGGCGGAGCGCCACAGUGAGAGCCCGGGUCCCCGAUGACGCCACUGAGCGUCGGAGCAGCCCCGAGGCAUCUGACGCCAGGUCCCUGUG
Molecule: long non-coding RNA, 1292 nt
Organism: Neofelis nebulosa (Clouded leopard)
Lineage: Eukaryota; Metazoa; Chordata; Mammalia; Carnivora; Felidae
Exons: 2
Source: RefSeq, a predicted model, not a curated record